This 1293-nucleotide long non-coding RNA is filed under the name Equus caballus (horse). RNAcentral's name for it is "lncRNA (ENSECAG00000058696.1)". Lineage: Eukaryota; Metazoa; Chordata; Mammalia; Perissodactyla; Equidae. The record is from RNAcentral.
GGGGGCCGGCCCGGUGGCGCAGCGGUUAAGCUCGCACGUUCUGCUUCUCGGUUCCGCUUCUCGGCGGCUCCGGGUGCGCAGGUUGGGAUCCUGGGUGCGGACAUGGCACCGCUUGGCACGCCGUGCUGUGGGCCAGAAAGUCUGUGUUUCUGCCACGUCUUCAAGAUAAUCAAAGGAAAGGAGCUGUGUGGCUCCUGCAGUCUCAGUUUACAAGACAGUUGCCCACUGAUUGUUCCAUGAAUAAAGCAGGAAGGAAGAUCUGACUUCAAGGAUGGAGGAAAGACAACCUGGCGGGGGAAAAUUAGAGAAUGAUGAAGUCCCCGGAAUUCAUAUUUCUUGACUCAGUGCUUAGGGACAUUUUUGCCUGAUGUAAAAAACAUUGUCCUACCCAACCAGCUUCACUGACAUACUGCUCCUCAACCUUGGCCAAAAUUCUCCACGGAGGCAGUCAAGACGAUGAUCAUCCAUUAUAUCCUGUCACUCUGCCUCUGGAUUCAAGUCAGAAGACCAUCUUUUCUAACAGUUCCAUUUCUCCUUUAAGAGCCCUGUGCUUCUGCAGGAAAACUAAGGAGAUUACCAGAGUCUUAAAAAAACAGGUUUACAUGAGGAUUCUAGGCAGUGAUUUCUACUGUUGCUGUUCCUGGUGCUCACUGCCAUUUAGAUUGACUCCAGUGGAGGAACACAGUAGGCUCUGAACUCAGUAUUCUUGAAGAAGUGCCACGUAGUAAAACAGGUGCCAAGUACAUAAGAUGCACCAGGUGCGAAGGAUACACAGACCGGGAAGAUCAAAAAAAGGGUGAUCAAGUCUACCUGAGGGAAACACCGGCCAGAGGGUGACUGACUCCGCUUGGAGGAAUACAGACAAGAAGGUCACCAACUCUACCUGGGAGAGCUGGAUAAGGCUUCCUCUGGUAAGGACUGGGCCUCAUAGCACUUAUCAUCUCGUGUAAUUCUAACACCUGCUGCUGAUCAAUCUGGCUUUCCUACUCUGCUGCUCCUGGAGCCCAUGGGUUGCCUGGUGCGUAUUUGAGGGCAGCUUCAUGUACUACGUGACAGAGAGUGAUCAUUGCUAUAAUUAGUUUUGAAAGACUAAGUCGACAUCUUUUUGUUUGGAAAGUAAGUGGUAGCAGCAAGAGCAGGGAGCAAGAAUACCAAAUGAUGUACAUCUUAAGUGAAUUAAAGUGAUGAUGGUCUGAACUGGAAUGAGCAUAUGCAGAAAUGGAGAGUAUUACAACAAAAGACUUGGCAGGUUGUCUGCCUCUAUAAAUAAGGGAGAUAAAUAAAAGGUUUUUA